Molecule: ribosomal RNA, 444 nt
Filed under: uncultured marine bacterium
Lineage: Bacteria
Description: bacterial SSU rRNA
Rfam family: Bacterial small subunit ribosomal RNA
Source: RNAcentral
AAUAUUGGACAAUGGGGGCAACCGUGAUCCAUCAACGCAACGUGGGUGAACAAGGCCGGCCAAUUCUACAGCGCUUUCUGUAGCGAAGAAAUGCCUAGUGUUAAUACCCGUGAAUCAUGAAAUUCCCUACAGAAGAAAUUCCCGGUAACUCCUUCCAGCAGCCGCGGUAAUAAGGAAGGAGAGGGCAGUAAUCUGAAGAAUUAGGGGUAAAACGCGGGUAGGCGGCUUUGUAAAUCUGAGCGGAAAGCCCUCAGCUCAACCUGGGAAACACAUUUUGUAAUGUAUCGAUAGGGUAUAGUGGAGGGACGGAGAAAAUCUGGUGUGGAGGGGAAAAGUGUAGAGAUAUGGGAAAACACCGGGGGGAGAGCGACUUCGUGGGGAAUCAGACGAGGAGAGAGGAAGGGUAGGGGAAAAAAGGAUUAGAUUCCCUGGUAGUUCAUACCG